RNAcentral lists this ribosomal RNA (449 nucleotides) under uncultured bacterium. RNAcentral's name for it is "bacterial SSU rRNA". It matches the Rfam family "Bacterial small subunit ribosomal RNA", at positions 335 to 799 of the family's 1533-position model. The record is from RNAcentral.
ACUCCUACGGGAGGCAGCAGUGGGGAAUCUUGGACAAUGGGCGCAAGCCUGAUCCAGCCAUGCCGCGUGAGUGAUGAAGGCCCCUAGGGUCGUAAAAGCUCUUUCGCCUGUGAUGAUAAUGACAGUAGCAGGUAAAGAAACCCGGCUAACUCCGUGCCAGCAGCCGCGGUAAUACGGAGGGGGUUAGCGUUGUUCGGAAUUACUGGGCGUAAAGCGCGCGUAGGCGGACUAUUAAGUCAGAGGUGAAAUCCCGGGGCUCAACCCCGGAACUGCCUUUGAUACUGGUAGUCUAGAGUUCGAGAGAGGUGAGUGGAAUUCCGAGUGUAGAGGUGAAAUUCGUAGAUAUUCGGAGGAACACCAGUGGCGAAGGCGGCUCACUGGCUCGAUACUGACGCUGAGGUGCGAAAGUGUGGGGAGCAAACAGGAUUAGAUACCCUGGUAGGAUAGCG